RNAcentral lists this transfer RNA (72 nucleotides) under Camelus bactrianus (Bactrian camel). It matches the Rfam family "tRNA". Rfam says of the family: Transfer RNA (tRNA) molecules are approximately 80 nucleotides in length. Their secondary structure includes four short double-helical elements and three loops (D, anti-codon, and T loops). RNAcentral also lists the same sequence under 2 other names. Lineage: Eukaryota; Metazoa; Chordata; Mammalia; Artiodactyla; Camelidae. The record is from Rfam by way of RNAcentral.
GAGGGUGUAUCUCAGCAGUAGAGUGCAUACCUAGCAUGCACGAGGUCCUGGGUUCAAUCCCCAGUGCCUCCA